UGAAGAGGUGAAAAUCUCGGUGAACCUGGUUGGUCUCGACACCUUUUCGUAGCACACUUUAACCGAAGAACCGGAUCGGACCGUAGUGAAAAAUAGAAUAAAUAUCCUUUGAUUGAGGACCUGUUGAAACACUGCGAUUGACCAUCCAGAGUAGUACCGUAACGUCACGUAGACUGGUACGGUGAUUGAUUGUGAGUAUCUGUAAAGAGAAGAAAGUAACAAGUAAAUUUAUUAAUAAAUGCAUUAAAUGAUAGGAAAAAUAAGCGGGAAAGGAGUAUACAGUAGAAAGAGUUCAGGAAGGAAGUAUCGUAAGGAAGGAGGAGACUAUUUGAGUAAGUAAU
This is a long non-coding RNA of Wyeomyia smithii (pitcher-plant mosquito), 341 nucleotides long. RefSeq lists it as uncharacterized. The transcript is spliced from 3 exons. Lineage: Eukaryota; Metazoa; Arthropoda; Insecta; Diptera; Culicidae. The record is from RefSeq and is a predicted model, not a curated record.